This 484-nucleotide ribosomal RNA is filed under the name uncultured bacterium. RNAcentral describes it as "bacterial SSU rRNA". It matches the Rfam family "Bacterial small subunit ribosomal RNA", at positions 28 to 508 of the family's 1533-position model. The record is from RNAcentral.
GAUGAACGCUAGCGGCAGGCCUAAUACAUGCAAGUCGAACGGCAAGAAGUGUAGCAAUACAUUUCCUAGAGUGACGUACGGGUGCGUAACACGUAUGCAACCUACCCUUUACAGGCGGAUAGCUCGGGGAAACCCGAAUUAACCCGCCGUGGUGUAGUGAGAAGGCAUCUUCUUAUUAUUAAAACUCCGGUGGUAAAGGAUGGGCAUGCGUCUGAUUAGUUAGUUGGCGGUGUAACGGACCACCAAGACGAUGAUCAGUAGGGGAACUGAGAGGUUGAUCCCCCACACUGGCACUGAGAUACGGGCCAGACUCCUACGGGAGGCAGCAGUAGGGAAUAUUGGUCAAUGGAUGCAAGUCUGAACCAGCCAUGCCGCGUGCAGGAAGAAGGCCUUCUGGGUUGUAAACUGCUUUUGCCAGGGGAUAAAAUGGCCAUGCGUGGCUAAUUGAAGGUACCUGGUGAAUAAGCCACGGCUAACUACGUGC